This 3338-nucleotide long non-coding RNA is filed under the name Capra hircus (goat). RNAcentral's name for it is "lncRNA (ENSCHIG00010025799.1)". Lineage: Eukaryota; Metazoa; Chordata; Mammalia; Artiodactyla; Bovidae. The record is from RNAcentral.
GAUGCACAUCUUCUUGCCUUUUUUUUUAAAUAAAAGAUUAAUUAAUUAGGCUGCACCAGGUCUUAUCUGUGCUAUGUGGGAUCUCUUAUUUGCAGCAUGUGAAUCUUUUAGUUGUGGCAUGCGAACUCUUAGAGGUGACAUGUGGAAUCUAGUUCCCUGAAAAGGGACCAAACUUGGGCCCCCUUGCGCUGGGAGCAGGGAGUCUUAGCCCCUGGCCCACCAGGGAAGUCCCUUCCUUGCUUCCUGAAAGCUGGGCCUGGGUCCGAUCCCUCUCUGCUUCCCUCAUCACAUUUAAUGCACAGCCCCUUACCCACGGCGGGCGAGGGGCCCGAGGCUACGGUGCUGACUGCACAUGGGGAAAGGGACCGGGUGCCCCAGCCUCUCUUUUCUUUGUCCUCUGUGUAUCUUCCCUCUUUGAACCUUAGCGGCUGCAAGGCUGCUGCGCCACCUGGCCCCAUAAAGCCCUCGCACCUGAUGAAGGUAAGGCGACAGAGUGGACUCAUGGCCGCGGAGGGCGUGGGGCGGGGGUGCGGAAUGAGACCUCCUCUGUCCUGAUCUGUGUCUCGGGCAGAGACGUGAGCUGCAGCUGUCCCCCCCAGAAUAUCUGCCUCCUCCCUAGAGAGCCAAGCGGAUGCCCCGCCUCUGAGGGUGAGAAAGAACCUAUUGUCUGCCCUGCACGCGAGGAAGGCCUUUUAUUGUCUGCUUGUUUGGCUAAGAUGCUCUGCCUCAUUGUGGGCCAUUAAUAAAUGCAUCUGUUUCAAUUGCACUGGCAUAUUUGAACCCCCAAGUCUUCCUCAGCAUACCAGAAGCAAACGUAACCACCCUUUUCAGACCCACACCCCAGCAGGAUGUAUGCGACAUUACACUGGAAACUACUGUUGGUAUGCAGAGCAGACACCUAGCAUGGAGUGAGGAUUUACUGUGUGUUAGGAAAGGCGGGAGGAGUCCUGCUAUGGAGUCAGGCAGACUGGGGGCCAAACCUCUACCAGCGGCUGACCUGCUGGGGGAUUUGGGGCAAGGGACUCGCCUUUCUGAGCCUGGGUUUCUUCAAGUGCACUGAGAAGGUGAACCUUUACUUGCUUGGAUCGUGUGGUGUGAUGUGUGUAGAGCAGAUGCAUUAAUGCCACAUUUAUUUCCGCUGUAAGGUAGGUAUUCCUGGAGAAGGAAAUGGCAACCCACUCCAGCACUCUUGCCUGGAAAAUNNNNNGGAUGGAGGAGCCUGGUAGGCUACAGUCCACGGGGUUGCAAAGAGUUGGGCACAAACGAGUGACUUCACUUUCUUUCCUUCAAGGUAGGUAUUAGCCAUACCCACUUUGCAGAUGAGAACACUGAGGCUGAAAAUAAAGUAAACUGACCACAGUCACAUAGCUGGGAAGUUAGCUCUGGGGGCUUCAAAGGUCAUUAUUCACUGCUAACCGCUGCCUCAGACACAAGCAGGCUGGCUCUUUGGCCUUCAUAAACCUGGCCAAGGAUUGGAGUCAGGGAAUGAUGUGACCUCGCCUGGCCUUCUUGUUGGCCUAGCUAGGGGCUGCUGGUGAGCUGGGUAGGCGGUUUGGGCCUUUCUGUGGAUCCCGGGCCUCUUCCAAGUGCAGGUUUCGGCCUGGUGGCCGCUCUACCAACCUUUCCCCCGCGCCUGGCUGCUCUCAGCCUCGGGUCAUGGUUUGGAUCACUUGGUUCCUCCUGACACUCGCGGGCUCCUCGCCUGCCUCCCAUCCUGGUAGAUGUGGAUUUCCUUGUAUGGACUUGACAUGGCUCAUCCCAGACCCCGGGGCUGACUUUGUACCUGGAUUUUUUUUCCCCCGUGUCUCCUCUAGCUUCCUGGAAGGCGGCCCAUUUGAUUUUUAUAGGCACUGUCAUUAUAAUUAACCUUCAUUGAAUUCUGUCCGGGGCUGACUCAGGCUUCACUGAGGGGAGGGGUAGUCAAGAAAUUUCUCAUUUCUGCCACUUGCUGAGUGACCAACAUCCCUGAUGAGAUUUCACUCUCCUGAGUCUCAGUUUCCCUAUCUGUGAAAUGGGCAUGUGAUGUUUGACCGUGUUGAUGAGGUGAUUCUUUAACUCCAUCCUGGGAAAGAUUUAAAGAGAUAACCACACAUUGGCCUAGCUCAGUGUAGAGCAUGCCUGGGAGUGAGCGUCACCCCCUACGAGGGCAGGGCCUGGGUCUGCCUUCUCUGCUGUGUCCCAUGCUGCAUAGAUCAUGCCCUAACUGGGCUCGGUGAGCCUAUGUUGAAUGAAUCUUUACACCUAUCGCCUAUCUCUGGGAAGUUCNNNNNNNNNNNNNNNNNNNNNNNNNNNNNNNNNNNNNNNNNNNNNNNNNNNNNNNNNNNNNNNNNNNNNNNNNNNNNNNNNNNNNNNNNNNNNNNNNNNUAUCGCCUAUCUCUGGGAAGUUCCACUUGGAGCUUCAUAUGCCCUGGAGAGAUUCGUAAAAGAAAAUAGGGAUGGAACAGUUCACACUCACAGAGAUGCCUGCAAGGAGAAAAGCAUUUAAUUAAAUCAAUAGCCCAGUGUUUAAGAAGCACCAUUGUUCCAAACUCGGGCGUUCCUGUCUGGGUGUAGGGUGUCCAGAGCAGGGAAGGGGUGGCAGAAACUUGAUGCCUAGGUGUGCUGGGCACAGUGGCAGAUCUUUUGUGUACUGUAACUUAUUGAAUUCUCUCACACAUUUUUCAGAGUUAGGGUAUCAUCUCCAUUUUCCAAAUGAGGAAACAGAGAACCAGGAGGGGACGUGACUUGUCAAAGGUCACACGGUAAAGAUGAGGGUGAGCCGGGAAGCUGGGUAAAGGCCCUGGGGGGAUGCCCUUCUGCUUCUGCUCACCCAGCCUCUGUUCCCCUCGUCUGGCAACAGGGCCUUCAUCUUCCUUUGGGAAAAUAACCUUCUGCUCCUGUGACCCAGGCGUCUCUGCUCAGAGUACCAGCCUCUGGUGACUGGUUCAGGAGUGGGCAAGGCCAGAAGGGGUCAGGGGAAGAUGGGCUUGUCUGCUGGGGCGGUGGAGUUGGCAGGAUGGCACCCAGGAUGCUGGUGGCCAUUUUGCCUCUGUUGGGUGGGCCUCCCGAGAUUGGAGCAAACACAGAGAGCAGAGCCCCAAGCACAGAGAAGUCAGGUCCUGACGGCAUGGUUAAGCCCAUGAGGCUAGCUUUACCCUUGGGCUUUCCAUCUUGGGGCCAAUGCACGUAUACUUUGGCUGAAGUCAGCUUGAGUGGGGUUUCCGUCACUUGCAACCCAAACCAUCCUGGCUCAUGUAUCUAGCGUGGGAGACCAGACACACACUGUGAAAUGACAGGCCCGGAGGAGGGUGUGAUCGGCUUGGCUGAACUGGAGAAAAAGCUUCCUGAAUGAGAGAGGA